AUGUUGAUGCAAGACUAUUUCGCAGAGAAUCCUACAUAUCCUCCGCACCUCUUUCUGAGAAGGUACCGAAUGUGCCGAUCCCUCUUUGUGAAACUUGUUCAAGCUUGCGAGGCAAAUUAUCGGUAUUUUACUCAAAGAAGGAAUGCCGCGGGCUUAAAGGGAUUUAGUGCAUAUCAAAAAAUCUCCGCAGCUAUGCGGGUGAUUGCAUAUGGCGUUCCGGCUGACUAUGCCGAUGAGUAUCUUUGCAUUGGUGAAGAUAGCACAAUGAGUCUGUGCGUAGAUUUGCGAAAGUGA
This 294-nucleotide ribosomal RNA is filed under the name Triticum aestivum (bread wheat). RNAcentral's name for it is "partial small subunit ribosomal RNA". Lineage: Eukaryota; Viridiplantae; Streptophyta; Magnoliopsida; Poales; Poaceae. The record is from RNAcentral.